This 490-nucleotide ribosomal RNA is filed under the name uncultured bacterium. Its description in RNAcentral is "partial 16S ribosomal RNA". It matches the Rfam family "Bacterial small subunit ribosomal RNA", at positions 30 to 507 of the family's 1533-position model. The record is from RNAcentral.
AUUGUACGCUGGCGGCAGGCCUAACACAUGCAAGUCGAACGGUAACAGGAAGACGCUUGCUUCUUUGCUGACGAGUGGCGGACGGGUGAGUAAUGUCUGGGAAACUGCCUGAUGGAGGGGGAUAACUACUGGAAACGGUAGCUAAUACCGCAUAACGUCGCAAGCCCAAAAAGGGGGACCUUCGGGCCUCUUGCCAUCGGAUGUGCCCAGAUGGGAUUAGCUAGUAGGUGGGGUAACGGCUCACCUAGGCGACGAUCCCUAGCUGGUCUGAGAGGAUGACCAGCCACACUGGAACUGAGACACGGUCCAGACUCCUACGGGAGGCAGCAGCGGGGAAUAUUGCACAAUGGGCGCAAGCCUGAUGCAGCCAUGCCGCGUGUAUGAAGAAGGCCUUCGGGUUGUAAAGUACUUUCAGCGGGGAGGAAGGGAGUAAAGUUAAUACCUUUGCUCAUUGACGUUACCCGCAGAAGAAGCACCGGCUAACUCCGUG